GGUCUGUGGUGGUAUCGGCAUGUAUUAUCUGAGCAUAAAUCUGAUCAGUUCAGCUCUGGAAUUGCUCUGAGACCUA
RNAcentral lists this small nucleolar RNA (76 nucleotides) under Eurypyga helias (sunbittern). Its description in RNAcentral is "Small nucleolar RNA SNORD45". It matches the Rfam family "Small nucleolar RNA SNORD45". From Rfam's summary of the family: U45 belongs to the C/D class of snoRNA which contain the C (UGAUGA) and D (CUGA) box motifs. Most of the members of the box C/D family function in directing site-specific 2'-O-methylation of substrate RNAs. The record is from Rfam by way of RNAcentral. Lineage: Eukaryota; Metazoa; Chordata; Aves; Eurypygiformes; Eurypygidae.